CUCCCUCCAACCAUUUCAAGAAUCAUCAUUCCAUAGCUGUACACAUCAGAUUUAUGGGACACUUGUCCGAAAUUUCUACUAGUAACUUCGGGAGCAAUAUAACCAAUGGUUCCUCUAGGUUGCAGUAAAGAUGAGACUGCACUUUCGUUUGUGGUGUAUAAUUUUGCAAGCCCAAAAUCAGAUAUCUUCGGGCAAAAAUCUUUGUCAAGAAGAAUGUUAUGUGGCUUUAUAUCAAAAUGCAGGAUACGAGUGUUGCAGCCUCGGUGUAGGUACUCCAGUCCCCGGGCAAUACCUAUUGCAAUCCUCAACAAUUUCUCCCAUCCAAGAUGUUGUCCUUCCAACAAAGGAUUUGUACCAUAAAUAAACUUUUCCAGAGAUCCAUUAGGCAUGAACUCAUAUAUAAGAGCUCGUCGUUUACCUUCAUAACAAAAGCCAAGGAGAGUGACGACAUUAACAUGAGAAGUCCUACCAAUGCUUGCAACUUCAUUAAUGAAUUCUUCUCCAUUUCCUUUUGUUGCAUUCAAGACCUUCACUGCCACGUCACGUCCAUCUGAUAAGCGGCCUCGAUAUACAGUUCCAUAGCCCCCUUUACCUAAUUCAUCCUUGAACGAAUUUGUUACUUUUUUUANUUCUGCAGAAAUUUCAUUUGCCAUAUUUAGCACAUCAUCAAAUUGGAGUCGCUUGUACAGCCAACGUGGAUAAUAUAUCUCACUAGUGUGAUCUGCACCGGCAUUAACAUUCUUUCUCCCUCCAACCAUUUCAAGAAUCAUCAUUCCAUAGCUGUACACAUCAGAUUUAUGGGACACUUGUCCGAAAUUUCUACUAGUAACUUCGGGAGCAAUAUAACCAAUGGUUCCUCUAGGUUGCAGUAAAGAUGAGACUGCACUUUCGUUUGUGGUGUAUAAUUUUGCAAGCCCAAAAUCAGAUAUCUUCGGGCAAAAAUCUUUGUCAAGAAGAAUGUUAUGUGGCUUUAUAUCAAAAUGCAGGAUACGAGUGUUGCAGCCUCGGUGUAGGUACUCCAGUCCCCGGGCAAUACCUAUUGCAAUCCUCAACAAUUUCUCCCAUCCAAGAUGUUGUCCUUCCAACAAAGGAUUUGUACCAUAAAUAAACUUUUCCAGAGAUCCAUUAGGCAUGAACUCAUAUAUAAGAGCUCGUCGUUUACCUUCAUAACAAAAGCCAAGGAGAGUGACGACAUUAACAUGAGAAGUCCUACCAAUGCUUGCAACUUCAUUAAUGAAUUCUUCUCCAUUUCCUUUUGUUGCAUUCAAGACCUUCACUGCCACGUCACGUCCAUCUGAUAAGCGGCCUCGAUAUACAGUUCCAUAGCCCCCUUUACCUAAUUCAUCCUUGAACGAAUU
This 1358-nucleotide long non-coding RNA is filed under the name Daucus carota (carrot). RNAcentral describes it as "long non-coding RNA (DCAR_LNC002864)". Lineage: Eukaryota; Viridiplantae; Streptophyta; Magnoliopsida; Apiales; Apiaceae. The record is from RNAcentral.